Molecule: transfer RNA, 58 nt
Filed under: Fusarium pseudograminearum CS3220
Lineage: Eukaryota; Fungi; Ascomycota; Sordariomycetes; Hypocreales; Nectriaceae
Also listed under: 3 other names
Description: tRNA-Glu
Source: RNAcentral
GGCUUCGCCUCAUAAUGGAAAUAAAAAUAAGAGCCUUGAGAAAGCUCUUAAGGCUAAA